RNAcentral lists this ribosomal RNA (506 nucleotides) under uncultured bacterium. Its description in RNAcentral is "partial 16S ribosomal RNA". It matches the Rfam family "Bacterial small subunit ribosomal RNA", at positions 30 to 523 of the family's 1533-position model. The record is from RNAcentral.
AUUGAACGCUGGCGGCAGGCCUAACACAUGCAAGUCGAGCGGCAGCGGAAAGUAGCUUGCUACUUUGCCGGCGAGCGGCGGACGGGUGAGUAAUGUCUGGGAAACUGCCUGAUGGAGGGGGAUAACUACUGGAAACGGUAGCUAAUACCGCAUAACGUCGCAAGACCAAAGAGGGGGACCUUCGGGCCUCUUGCCAUCAGAUGUGCCCAGAUGGGAUUAGCUGGUAGGUGGGGUAACGGCUCACCUAGGCGACGAUCCCUAGCUGGUCUGAGAGGAUGACCAGCCACACUGUAGCUGAGACACGGUCCAGACUCCUACGGGAGGCAGCAGUGGGGAAUAUUGCACAAUGGGCGCAAGCCUGAUGCAGCCAUGCCGCGUGUAUGAAGAAGGCCUUCGGGUUGUAAAGUACUUUCAGCGGGGAGGAAGGUGUUGUGGUUAAUAACCACAGCAAUUGACGUUACCCGCAGAAGAAGCACCGGCUAACUCCGUGCCAGCCGCCGCCGUAA